UGGGACGUGGCCAAGUGGUAAGGCAGCGGUUUUUGGCACCGCCAUUCGCAGGUUCGAAUCCUUCCGUCCCAG
RNAcentral lists this transfer RNA (72 nucleotides) under Mychonastes homosphaera. RNAcentral's name for it is "tRNA-Gln". It matches the Rfam family "tRNA". From Rfam's summary of the family: Transfer RNA (tRNA) molecules are approximately 80 nucleotides in length. Their secondary structure includes four short double-helical elements and three loops (D, anti-codon, and T loops). Further hydrogen bonds mediate the characteristic L-shaped molecular structure. tRNAs have two regions of fundamental functional importance: the anti-codon, which is responsible for specific mRNA codon recognition, and the 3' end, to which the tRNAs corresponding amino acid is attached (by aminoacyl-tRNA synthetases). tRNAs cope with the degeneracy of the genetic code in two manners: having more than one tRNA (with a specific anti-codon) for a particular amino acid; and 'wobble' base-pairing, i.e. permitting non-standard base-pairing at the 3rd anti-codon position. The record is from RNAcentral. RNAcentral also lists the same sequence under 1 other name. Lineage: Eukaryota; Viridiplantae; Chlorophyta; Chlorophyceae; Sphaeropleales; Mychonastaceae.